UUGCCUCAGUAACGGCGAGUGAAGCGGCAACAGCUCAAAUUUGAAAUCUGGCCUCUUGGGGGUCCGAGUUGUAAUUUGCAGAGGAUGUUUCGGGUACCGCCUCGGUCUAAAUUUCUUGGAACAGAAUGUCAAAGAGGGUGAGAAUCCCGUCUUGGACCGGCGGUAGGGCCCAUGUGAAACUCCUUCGACGAGUCGAGUUGUUUGGGAAUGCAGCUCAAAAUGGGUGGUAAAUUUCAUCUAAAGCUAAAUAUUGGCCAGAGACCGAUAGCGCACAAGUAGAGUGAUCGAAAGAUGAAAAGCACUUUGAAAAGAGAGUUAAACAGUAUGUGAAAUUGUUGAAAGGGAAGCGCUUGCAACCAGACUUGAGCGCGGCGGUUCCCCCUUCCUUCUGGUUGGGCUACUCCGUCGUGUCCAGGCCAACAUCGGUUCUGGGGGUCGGUUAAAGGCCCGGGGAAUGUACCUACGCCUCCGGGUGUAGACUUAUAGCCCCGGGUGUCAUGCGACCUCCCGGGACCGAGGAACGCGCUUCGGCUCGGAUGUUGGCGUAAUGGUCGUAAGCGACCCGUCUUGAAACACGGACCAAGGAGUCUAACAUCUAUGCGAGUGUUUGGGUGUCAAACCCGGAACGCGAAAUGAAAGUGAACGGAGGUAGGAAGCCUUUAGGCUGCACUAUCGACCGAUCCUGAUGUCUUCGGAUGGAUUUGAGUAAGAGCAUAGCUGUUGGGACCCGAAAGAUGGUGAACUAUGCCUGAAUAGGGUGAAGCCAGAGGAAACUCUGGUGGAGGCUCGCAGCGGUUCUGACGUGCAAAUCGAUCGUCGAAUUUGGGUAUAGGGGCGAA
This 839-nucleotide ribosomal RNA is filed under the name Exophiala cinerea. Its description in RNAcentral is "partial large subunit ribosomal RNA". It matches the Rfam family "Eukaryotic large subunit ribosomal RNA", at positions 75 to 927 of the family's 3401-position model. Lineage: Eukaryota; Fungi; Ascomycota; Eurotiomycetes; Chaetothyriales; Herpotrichiellaceae. The record is from RNAcentral.